UUAUAAUUUAAAGCUUGCUCUAGAUCUAAACUUGUGCGAUGACAACUUGAUCUAAAAUCUAAGUUGUUAACGGAUAUGAUAUGGGAAGGUUGAGCUGCUGUUUAUCUGUUCCUAGAGAUGCUAGAAUUCUGGAGAAUUUUAUCUUUGAAAAAUCUUUAAAAUAUUGCAUGAUGAGUUCCUGUAUGAUGAGAGUUUAAAUUCCUACCACAGCCAUAUAUACAUGCUUGCUAGACUUUGAGCCACACAUUUAUUAUUUACUGCUUAUGAGCAUUGAGUGUGGUCAAGCUGUGUAGACCCUUAGGAGCAUGUCAUGUGGUUAAAUCAAGAUUCACUUGCACGGUCACUCAUAUAUGCUACUUCUACUCCGGAAGUACCAUCCACAUAUAUCCAUCUCCAGAACCACCCAAAAAUAUUCUACUCCUAAUCCGGGAGAGAAUAGCCAAAAAUAUUUCUGUUUUCUCUUGUGAAAUAAAUGCUCAAGUUAUCUUACUACUACCACUUGCUAUAUUAUCUCAAGAGAUGAGUGCUUUGAAAAGAAAAAAAAGAAAAGAGAAGAAAAGAAAAAAAUAAUAAACGAGUAAAUAAAAAGGGGCAAGUGCCCGGAACCUCGAAAGAAAGAAAAAGUGAGACGAGAGGUAAAAAUGGACAAGUGUCCGACAGUAGAAUUAGGGGUACAAGAUACCCACCUGAGAGGAAAGAAAAAGAAGAGCAUCUCAUUCUCCUCAUAAAGUUUCAAAAAGCAAGGAAGGUAUGUAUCCCCUCAAAAGAGCAAAAGUAGAAUUAGACUUUCACCAUUGUUAUCACCAUCAUCACCAUACACCAUUCAUUCGCCACACAUGCACAUCUUGAUUUGGCUUAUUGAUUUAUUUCUUUGGAUCCAUGGUUUGACUAUACAAUAAAUGUCUUGUAAGUAUGUAUAAUUUAUCUCCCACCUAUGAGCUCUAGAUAUUAAAGCCUUAUUAGGGUAGGGUAAGAGAGAAGGCAAUGUCGCUAUGCCUUAUACCACAAAUACCAUAUAUCUUGAGAGAAGGCAUAUACCAUCACUACCUUGGUAAGGAUCCAGAAAUACCACAAAAGAGAGAUUUAGAGAGUCAUACAAGGAAUCUCUGAGUUUUAUUUGAAAAUCUGCAAAAACUCCAGAGCUAUAGCUGAUCAAGAAUAAGAGACAUGGCACUUGGCUAGACUGUUCUAUCUUUUAACUACUCAAGACAGAAGUGAUGGUUACAAGUCCCAUGGUGAAAGGUAAAGUAAGUUUUAGUUCUUGACAAUUUACUCUAACUCAGAGAUGAGAUCUUAUUUAAAAGCAUGUGUACCGUCAAAAUUUUAAGAUAUUGCAACAACUUCUGAUCCAUUGCUGAGUCUAUCCUUGCUCAGGGACGAGCAAGAGGUAAGCUUGGGGGAGUUUGUUGACGGUCCUUAAGUAUCAAAUUUAAUUAUCAAAUGAACAAAGAAAAGGAUCCAAAUGAAAUCAACAUCUAGACUUAGGGUUUUAUCUGACAGAAUUCCACGAGUUUUGGUGUUUGUCUAUUUCUGUAGGGGGUUAUCAGGAAAUACGGAAGAAAGGCCCACACGUCGGGAUUACAUAGAGAUAUUAAUGUGCCUUGCAAUUAUCUUACAUCUAGAAGACUCCAGAAGCCACAGGAAGGAAGCGGAGGCCGAACGGGGCUAGAGGCAGGGCGCCCGCCCUCCUGCCCUGGGCGCCCGCCCUGACUUGGAGCCCAAUCAGGACUCUUUCUCUCGGGAGAUCUCCACCGACCUAAAGGAUCAAGAAUAACCGUUCAAUCAAUGUCGGUAUGAUCCGACGGCCCAGGUUCACUUGAGGGGACUAUAUAACCAGACCCCCUGGCCCCUGGAGGAGGCACCCCUUGAUCAUUAUUCAUUAUUCAUAGACAGAGCAAAAGCUAGGGUUUAGAGAUGAGAGCUCUCCUCUCUUCUCUAAACUAGAGUAGAUCUAGAUAGUAGCAAUAUGGAGAGCGAAGGAGGAUUAGAGGAGAGGCCGGCCUGUCGGUUCUUCCUCCGGUUGUACUUCGUCAUGAUCAAGCUCUAAUCAAGCUUGCCUAUGGGAUGACUCUGGUAAUCUACUUCUAAUUCAUUAUGCAAUUACUAAUCAUGUAUGCUCUGGUUCACAACUCUUUUGAGUACUUUAAUCUAUAGGACGCUAUAGGUGACAGUUGUAGUAUAGGUGUAAGCGUGGUGCUUAGAUCUAGAUUACUUGUGGAUAUCCCCUGUCUAGCUGGAUCGUGUGGCAGGCCACGUAGGUGACAGUUACGUUGGUCCUCUGUAGUCCACCUCUCGUUAGCAGGACGGGUAGGGUUUAUCGGCCUAAGGAUAAGCAUCCUUUGUGGUGUACUCUUAUCACGUGGUUUGUCCCAGACAUAGACAUACCCCUUUGAAGUAGAGAAACCAUAGUUAUCCUCUCUAUUCUGCUACCAUCGCCCAUAUACUAGAAUUGCUAUAAUCUCUAUUCCCAUAUUAUCACUCACUGUUAUCUUACCUUUAAUAUUGUUCUUAUUCGAUUCUACCAUCUUUCCUAUUUACACCUAUUUACUUAUCUUGGUUAAGUUAGAGCGUAGAUCAGUUCUCCUGUUUCCCUGUGGAUACCAUAAAACCUUUAACCGGGUAAAAGCUAUAACGGUAUCCGUGCGCUUGCGGAUUAUCUGUGUGCGUAUAAAUACCAUAGUACACUCUAGUGCCAUGCUGGGGAUGACAACCUAGUAUUGAAGUGGUGUUAGCAAGUGUCAACACUUGGCUCAAUUUCAGAUGUUGAGUCUGCAACUCCCCUUGAAUAUGAGAUUCAUCCAUCAAUAGAAGAGGACAUAGACGGGACCAAUCCAAGAGAAACUCUGAACACUCAGAUUAGAGAUGAAGAUAACAUUAAUGAGCAUGGAAUUUAUUUCAUAGCCUCUUCGUUUACUCCAUACUCGUAUGAAACAUCUUCCCAAUCUAUUGGUCUCUCCAACAUCACCACAUUUGAGAUCUCCAACCCCCUCUUCCUUUCUAUUUAUAAAAACUUUAAAAGGGCGGUUGUCGAUGCAUAUGUCUAUAAUAAAUAUUACAGAUCUCAUCGUGUUGAUCUUGAUAUAGGUUAGCGUCGGAGGGGAAACCACUUCGCCAACAUAAACUGAUGGUUUCCCAAGGACAAGCUUAGUGUCCUAACAUAAGCACUGAUCAGACCGUAACAUGAGCUUUUAAUUAUUUGCAACAUUACCUUGUGUAUUGAGCAUAUAAGGAUAAUUGUAAACAUAUUCCUUCGGGUAUUCUUGUCACUAACCUUUCCAGGAUUGGAGCAAGAAGAUCGGAUGAAUGACGAGCACAAGGUAUGUCCAACCAAUCAUCAUACAACAUUGAAUUAAAUUCAUCCAAACUUGAAUUUUGCAAAAUUCAAGCUUGGGGGAGUACUUUACAUAAAAACAUCCAUUGCCAUGUUGCUAUGUUGGUUGUCCCUACCUUUGAGACAUGCUCAAUUUGUUAAAUACUAAUCACACUACUUCAUCUCCACUUGAGUAGAUCUCUAUAAAUGCUCUCAUGCUACCUUUAUUUGCUUUAGUAUAUGUCUAGGUUUGGAGUAGUUUCAUUUAACUCUUAAAUAAGCAUGGUGCUUAGUUUUGGAAUGAUGAUCUCACUUCCAAGGGAUUUUAAAUUAAGCAUGGUGCUUAGGUUAAAAUGCCCUCCUAAAUCAAAUUAGACAUGGUGUCUAGGUUGAUUUUUGAGCCAAUAGUAUGCUAUAGUAGAUAUUGGAUAUUUUGUUGGACUAACCCCUGCAUGAAAACUUUCAAUAUCAACAUGGGAAGUCCUGAGAUAAACUCAGAUUGGAGACAAAGGGAGAGACAUAUCAAGUUUAACAAUUUACACAAGGAAGACGUAGCUCAUAAGAGAUGAUCCAUGGAGGGUGCCACAAACACGAUGCACAACCUCUAAGAAAGCAAAGCUUCCACAAGGUGAUACUGUACCAUCACUCUUCAAGUAAGGUAACAUCUUAAGGUACUUGACUAUCACUUUUAUAAGCUUCUCCUUGGUUCUAGUGUUGAUAUGAAUAAAAGAGACAAACAUGUAUGAUUUACAACUCUAGGUUAACCAACCCAAUCGAUUCAAUAUGUUUAGUCCUUCCACCUUUGUGAUCCCACACUCCUAAUCAUAUGAGCUAAAAUGUUGCACACUCAAUCUUUGGAAGAUAUAUAAAAAAACAUAAGUAUAGAUAGAUUAUCUUUCCAUUAGGUUGAGCGAUCUGAUCUGACAAAUGUUUUUAAUACUACACUCAUGAUCUUAUUAUCCAUCAAAUUUUUCUUGCUCACUAUGCUUAAGGUUAGAGAAGAACAAAUACACUUUUGGUUCUGUUGGUGUUUUCCACCAGCAGGGCCCAUGCACUUGAUCUCUGCCUUCUCUAUGAGCAGGUACACUAGGAGCAAAACAUAGUGGAGUUUUACAACUCCCAGAUUCCACCAAGUGAAGGACCUAGAUCUACAAGCACAAACACACUGAGCAAGAUGCUGCCAACGCCGCACUUCGAACUGCUGGGGAAACGAAGAACAUGGGUGACACUGUAUCAAGAUGUGCAGACAUCAAGGUCCACACCUGAAUCAAAUGACGCACCUAAAGAAUAAACACAGUGAGAAGUCUUGUUCAGAAGCUUAAAACAUUGAACCCUCGCCGAAAGGUAAAAUCGGUAGUUAUCCAUAUUUAUCCUUUCUGCAUUCCCUUUUCCCUUAAAUUAUUUACUUUCCUUAAAUGGCUUGUUAGUUAAUCAUGCCAUCUUGAAAAGAAAAUAAAAAUGUUAAAAAUAGUAAGCCCCAUGUGAGUAUGCUCGUGGCAUAAAACCCAUAAGUACAUUCACUGUGGUGGCGUAAAAAAUAAAAUAAAAAUAUUCCUGUCCUAUAAAAAUGAAAAUAUAAAAAUAAAUUUAUGAUCCUACCAAAGAGAGUAAAUAUUUAUUAGAGGAAGCUCAACGGCUAAGAGAUUUUAUGCUAACACUUAACCAGUUCCACAAAGCUUUGUUGUCUAUUUGAGCUCUACAGAAUUCAAGGAUCAAAGAAGACUAGCAGACGGAGGACAUCCUAAUAGCUGUCAAGGUGCUGCCGACAUUCAAAUAUACCUCCGCCACCUGCUAGCUACAUCAGAAAAAAUUACGUCAAAAUCCAGCUUGGGGGAGAGCACCCCCAUUUAUCCAGCUAAGUGUUUCUACUCGCGUUUAUACUUUACUCAAAUAAUAAAAAGAUGCAUAAUCAUAAAAACUCAAAUAAAGAUUUUGUGCUUAUAUAUAUAUCUUUGCUUAGUUUGCUAAAUAAAUAAAUAAAUAAAGUUUGCUAUGAACUCUCAAGAUAAGCUCUCACAUGGAAAUGAUGAAUAGUUUCUCUACCAUGACUAGUUCUCAAAAUUGAAAUCUCUCUCAAUUUUAGGCAUGACUGUUAUGAAUUAAGAUUUGCUCUAAACCUAAACUUGUGGGAAGAGUACUUGAUCUAACGUCUAAGUCGUUAAUGGAUACGAUAUGGGAAGGUUGAGCUGCUGUUUAUCUGUUCCUAGAGAUGCUAGAAUUAUGGAGAAUUUUAUCUUUGAAAAUCUUUAAAAUGUUGCAUGAUGAGUUUCUGUAUGAUGAGAGUUUAAAAUCCUACCACAGCCACAUAUACAUGCUUAUUAGACUAUGAACCAUACAUCUACUUUUUACUGCUUAUGAGCAUUGAGUGUGGUCAAGCUGUGUAGACCCUUAGGAGCUUGUCAUGCGGUUAAAAUCAAGAUUCACUUGCACGUUCACUCAUACAUGCUGCUUCUACUUCGGAAGUACGCAUCCACAUACAUCCACUCCUUUCCAUCUCUAGAUUCACCCAAAAUUAUUCUACUCCUAUCUAGGAGAGAAUAGCCAAAAACAUUAUCCUAUCCCUGUUAUUCCCCGCGAAAUAAAUGCUUGAGAUAUUUUGGUUACUACCACUUGCUACAUUAUUCCAGGAGGGUGAGUGCUCUAAAAAAAGAGAGAGAAAAAAAAGAGAAAAAUACGAGGAAAUAAAAAGAGGCAAGUGCCCGGAACCUCGAAAAAAAAGUGAGACAAGAGGUAAAAAUGGACAAGUGUCCGACAGUAGAAUUAGGGGUACAAGAUACCCACCAUAGAGAAAAGAAAAACAAAAUAUAGAGCAUCUCAUUCCCCUCAAAAAACUUCAAUGUGCAAGAAAGGUAUGUAUCCCCUAAAAAGAGCAAAACUAGAAUUAGACUUUCACCAUUGUUUUCAUCAUCAUCACCAUACACCAUUCAUUCGCCACACAUGCACAUCUUGAUUUGACUUAUUGACUUGUUUCUCUAGAUCCAUGGUUUGACUAUGCAAUAAAUAUCUUGUAAGUAUGUAUUAGCUGUCUCCCACCUAUGAGCUCUAGAUAUCAAAACCUUAUUAGAGUAGGGUGAGAGAGAAGGCAAUGUCACUAUGCCUCAUACCACAAAUACCACAUACUUUGAGAGAAGACAUAUAACAUCACUACCUUGGUAAGGAUCCAGAAAUACCAAAAAAGAGAGAGUUGAGAGAGUCAUACAAGAAAUCUCUGAGUUUUAUUUUGAAAAUCUACAAAAACUCUAGAACUAUAGUUGAUCAAAAAACAAGAGACAUGGCGCUUGACUUGACCAUUCUAUCUUUUAACUUCUCAAAACAUAAGUGACGGUUGCAAGCCCCAUGGUGAAAGGUAAAAUGAGUAAGUUUUAAGUCUUAACAGUUUACUCUAACUCAGAGAUAAGACCUUGUUUGAAAGCAUGUGUACCGUCAACUUUCUAAGGCAUUGCAGCAAUUUCUAAUCCAUCACUAAGUCUAUCGUUGCUCAGGGACGAGCAAGAG
Molecule: long non-coding RNA, 6805 nt
Filed under: Sorghum bicolor (sorghum)
Lineage: Eukaryota; Viridiplantae; Streptophyta; Magnoliopsida; Poales; Poaceae
Description: long non-coding RNA (SBIC_LNC008901)
Source: RNAcentral